GUGCCAGCCGCCGCGGUAAUACGUAGGGCGCGAGCGUUGUCCGGAAUUAUUGGGCGUAAAGAGCUCGUAGGCGGCCGGUUGCGUCUGCUGUGAAAUCCCGGGGCUUAACCCCGGGCGUGCAGUGGAUACGGACAGACUAGAGGUAGGUAGGGGAGAAUGGAAUUCCCGGUGUAGCGGUGAAAUGCGCAGAUAUCGGGAGGAACACCGGUGGCGAAGGCGGUUCUCUGGGCCUGUUCUGACGCUGAGGAGCGAAAGCGUGGGUAGCAAACAGGAUUAGAUACCCCGGUAGUCC
Molecule: ribosomal RNA, 292 nt
Filed under: uncultured bacterium
Lineage: Bacteria
Description: partial 16S ribosomal RNA
Rfam family: Bacterial small subunit ribosomal RNA
Source: RNAcentral